UAGUUUGUGAUAAUCUCAACCAGAAGUUUGAACUUUAAUGGUUUGUCAUAGCAAUGACUUCUCCCUUGCAAAAGUAUAUAAUGAUGUCUCCCUGCUAUGCAGAGCGCGGAGUUUUCAUGUAGCCGACACAGACAGCGUGGUCUACCCUGUGUCACUCGCCUAUGAGCAAUCUGUGUAAAGACACCACUCUUCAGUUUUACUUUCUGCAGUGACAGCACACCCGAGCCCAUGUCUCAGCGUCAAGAGUGAUUUUGCUGGACUCUUAAAGUUGACACUAUGCACAGCACUGUGAGCACAGGCUUGGAAGUUCCGAGUAAAGGUUGUAUCACAAGGUAAUGACCUGCGCAGUGCCUUGUUUGUAGAUUCACACUUUUGACUAUUCAGGUUGAAUUGGGUCUUGUCUAUUAUUUUAGGGCCGAGAUGAAUGUCAGUCAAAUUUUGAAAGAGAAUUCCAUUGUGAGUAUUUUUGAAGUUUUUAUCCAAAUAUUUGCUGUGUAAUAACCAAUUUUGCAAUUUUUUAUCACAAACUCUGUUUGCAGCUUUCUGCAUGCCUGAACUGGAUGGGGGUGGAAUAUCUGCACUCAUGCAGAGGACAUGGAAACUCUCACUCCCCAUGGGACAUUUCGACAGGCCCAUCUGGAGUCCAGCGUUGGCAGUGGAGGAGCGACGUCCCUUCUUCGCUGCAGCUACUUCUACCUCCUUGUAGAGCUUAUGAUGCUUAGACAGUGAACAAUCCUCCUCCUGAGUGGUGUUUCUCAUCCUCGGCCUUAACUGGCGGUAUGGCAGACUGACAAUUAUGAAUGGGAUCAAGAGAUGUUGAGCUUGGCAGAGGAGAAAUGUGAUCUUCAAAUUGCAGAAUCAGAGGAGGAGUCUCUGAGGCAUUCCAAAGUGAGGAAGGGGUAGGUUAUGUGAUCCAGAGAUCAAUACCUUCACGUUAGUAGGUUUAAAUUGUGAAUACUAUUUUCACAACUUUGUUAAAUAUAUUUGUCUACCUUAACUAGGGAUGGCGUGA
Long non-coding RNA from Haliotis rubra (blacklip abalone), 1012 nucleotides. RefSeq lists it as uncharacterized. NCBI's taxonomy places the organism in Eukaryota, Metazoa, Mollusca, Gastropoda, Lepetellida, Haliotidae. The record is from RefSeq and is a predicted model, not a curated record. The transcript has 4 exons.